This 428-nucleotide ribosomal RNA is filed under the name uncultured bacterium. RNAcentral's name for it is "bacterial SSU rRNA". It matches the Rfam family "Bacterial small subunit ribosomal RNA", at positions 355 to 775 of the family's 1533-position model. The record is from RNAcentral.
UGGGGAAUAUUGGACAAUGGGGGCAACCCUGAUCCAGCGAUGCCGCGUGAGUGAAGAAGGCCUUCGGGUCGUAAAGCUCUUUAGGUUGGGAAGAAGGUCAUGUGGUGCAUAGCCACGUGAUUUGACGGUACCGACAGAAUAAGCACCGGCAAACUCUGUGCCAGCAGCCGCGGUAAUACAGAGGGUGCGAGCGUUAAUCGGAGUUACUGGGUGUAAAGGGCGCGUAGGCGGCAUGAUAUGUGUGAUGUGAAAGCCCCGGGCUUAACCUGGGAAGUGCAUUGCAAACUAUCGAGCUAGAGUAUGUGAGAGGGUGGCGGAAUUUCCGGUGUAGCGGUGAAAUGCGUAGAGAUCGGAAGGAACGUCAAUGGCGAAGGCAGCCACCUGGCACAAUACUGACGCUGAGGCGCGAAAGCGUGGGGAGCGAACAG